AACGCACCUUGCGCUCCUUGGUAUUCCGAGGAGCAUGCCUGUUUGAGUGUCAUUAAAUUCUCAACCUUUCAGGUUUUUGUUAACCUGCAAGGCUUGGAUGUGGGAGUUGCGGGCUUCUUCAGAAGUCGGCUCUCCUUAAAUGCAUUAGCAAGACCUUUGUUGACCAUCCCUGGUGUGAUAAUUAUCUACGCCAUAGAGAAUCAGCUUCAUUUAUGGGCUUUGCUUAUAACCGUCCUCACGGACAACUCCUGACAUUUUGACCUCAAAUCAGGUAGGACUACCCGCUGAACUUAA
Molecule: unclassified non-coding RNA, 294 nt
Filed under: uncultured Lyophyllum
Lineage: Eukaryota; Fungi; Basidiomycota; Agaricomycetes; Agaricales; Lyophyllaceae
Description: sequence contains ITS2
Rfam family: 5.8S ribosomal RNA (bases 1-52)
Source: RNAcentral